Molecule: transfer RNA, 76 nt
Filed under: Actinomycetota bacterium
Lineage: Bacteria; Bacillati; Actinomycetota
Description: Actinobacteria bacterium (freshwater metagenome) tRNA-Arg
Rfam family: tRNA
About the family: Transfer RNA (tRNA) molecules are approximately 80 nucleotides in length. Their secondary structure includes four short double-helical elements and three loops (D, anti-codon, and T loops). Further hydrogen bonds mediate the characteristic L-shaped molecular structure. tRNAs have two regions of fundamental functional importance: the anti-codon, which is responsible for specific mRNA codon recognition, and the 3' end, to which the tRNAs corresponding amino acid is attached (by aminoacyl-tRNA synthetases). tRNAs cope with the degeneracy of the genetic code in two manners: having more than one tRNA (with a specific anti-codon) for a particular amino acid; and 'wobble' base-pairing, i.e. permitting non-standard base-pairing at the 3rd anti-codon position.
Source: RNAcentral
GCGCCCGUAGCUCAGGGGAUAGAGCGAGAGACUUCUAAUCUCGAGGCCGCAGGUUCGAAUCCUGCCGGGCGCAUCA